RNAcentral lists this non-coding RNA (26 nucleotides) under Xenopus tropicalis (tropical clawed frog). Lineage: Eukaryota; Metazoa; Chordata; Amphibia; Anura; Pipidae. The record is from RNAcentral. RNAcentral also lists the same sequence under 4 other names.
GACAUUUGGUGUAUGUGCUUGGCUGA